This 253-nucleotide ribosomal RNA is filed under the name uncultured bacterium. RNAcentral describes it as "partial 16S ribosomal RNA". It matches the Rfam family "Bacterial small subunit ribosomal RNA", at positions 524 to 776 of the family's 1533-position model. The record is from RNAcentral.
UACAGAGGUGGCAAGCGUUGUUCGGAAUUACUGGGCGUAAAGGGCGCGUAGGCGGUCUUUCAAGUCCCGUGUGAAAUCCCUCGGCUCAACUGAGGAACUGCACGGGAAACUGUCUGGCUUGAGUUCGGGAGAGGGAAGCGGAAUUCCGGGUGUAGCGGUGAAAUGCGUAGAUAUCAGGAGGAACACCGAUGGCGAAGGCAGGUCUCUGGGCAUUAACUGACGCUGAGGAGCGAAAGCAUGGGGAGCGAACAGG